GUCCGUACGAUUACGCGUAGUCGCUCUGUUUUCUGGGCAGCUUGAGAAGGAGUUGACGAACUCGGACUUCUCCCCUGCCACCCUGGGAGACGUCCCGGGGAU
RNAcentral lists this small RNA (102 nucleotides) under Marmota monax (woodchuck). It matches the Rfam family "Gammaretrovirus core encapsidation signal". The record is from RNAcentral. Lineage: Eukaryota; Metazoa; Chordata; Mammalia; Rodentia; Sciuridae.